AGAGAGAGACAUGCGCGCAUAUCAAUAAGCGGAGGAAAAGAAACUAACUAGGAUUCCCUCAGUAACGGCGAGUGAAGCGGGAAGAGCUCAAAUUUGAAUCUUCAAGGUUCUACCUUGACGAAUUGUAGUUUAAAGAAGUGUUUUCUGUUGGAGUUUUGGUAAAAGUUCUUUGGAAUAGGACAUCAUAGAGGGUGAGAAUCCCGUAUUUGACCAUUAUUUCCAGCUUUGUGAUACACUUUCAAAGAGUCGGAUUGUUUGGGAAUGCAGUCCAAAAUGGGUGGUAAAUUUCAUCUAAAGCUAAAUACUGGCGAGAGACCGAUAGCGAACAAGUACCGUGAGGGAAAGAUGGAAAGAACUUUGAAAAGAGAGUUAAACAGUACGUGAAAUUGUCAAAAGGGAAGCGUUUGACACCAGUGUUGUAUUCUCGAAAAUCAAUUAAAAAAGGCAGGAUUUUGUGUUGUAUUGACUUUAUCAGCUUUCUGCACUCUUUUCUUGUCUUUUUUAAUGCACUUUUCGUUUAACAAGUCAACAUCAAUUUCUUUUGUUGUAAAAGGGUCAUUGGAAGGUGGCUUUCUUUUCGGAGAAAGUGUUUAUAGCCUUUGGCCUCUGCAAUCGGAGAGAUUGAGGUCUGCAGCGUAGAUCCUUCGGGGUUAGAUACAUUUGUGCUAAGUUAUAGCCUUUCAUAGACAACUUGUUGACUAUGAUCAGUCAUGUAGCUUACUCGCUUAUGUUAUUUUACCUACGCUUAGGAUGUUGAUGUGAUACUGCGAGCA
RNAcentral lists this ribosomal RNA (773 nucleotides) under uncultured Neocallimastigales. Its description in RNAcentral is "partial large subunit ribosomal RNA". It matches the Rfam family "Eukaryotic large subunit ribosomal RNA", at positions 23 to 628 of the family's 3401-position model. The record is from RNAcentral. Lineage: Eukaryota; Fungi; Neocallimastigomycota; Neocallimastigomycetes; Neocallimastigales.